Molecule: small nuclear RNA, 110 nt
Organism: Suncus etruscus (white-toothed pygmy shrew)
Lineage: Eukaryota; Metazoa; Chordata; Mammalia; Eulipotyphla; Soricidae
Source: RefSeq, a predicted model, not a curated record
GAGAUCAAAAAAUCUAUCCCAUUUAAAAUAGUGCCCAAACGAUAAAGAGAAGAUUAGCAUGGCUCCUGAGCAAGGAUGGCACGCAAAUUUAUAAAGUGUUCCAUAUUUAA